GGUUAAGCGACUAAGCGUACACGGUGGAUGCCCUGGCAGUCAGAGGCGAUGAAGGACGUGCUAAUCUGCGAUAAGCGUCGGUAAGGUGAUAUGAACCGUUAUAACCGGCGAUUUCCGAAUGGGGAAACCCAGUGUGAUUCGUCACACUAUCAUUAACUGAAUCCAUAGGUUAAUGAGGCGAACCGGGGGAACUGAAACAUCUAAGUACCCCGAGGAAAAGAAAUCAACCGAGAUUCCCCCAGUAGCGGCGAGCGAACGGGGAGCAGCCCAGAGCCUGAAUCAGUGUGUGUGUUAGUGGAAGCGUCUGGAAAGGCGCGCGAUACAGGGUGACAGCCCCGUACACAAAAAUGCACAUGCUGUGAGCUCGAUGAGUAGGGCGGGACACGUGGUAUCCUGUCUGAAUAUGGGGGGACCAUCCUCCAAGGCUAAAUACUCCUGACUGACCGAUAGUGAACCAGUACCGUGAGGGAAAGGCGAAAAGAACCCCGGCGAGGGGAGUGAAAAAGAACCUGAAACCGUGUACGUACAAGCAGUGGGAGCACAGAGCAAUCUGUGUGACUGCGUACCUUUUGUAUAAUGGGUCAGCGACUUAUAUUCUGUAGCAAGGUUAACCGAAUAGGGGAGCCGAAGGGAAACCGAGUCUUAACUGGGCGUUAAGUUGCAGGGUAUAGACCCGAAACCCGGUGAUCUAGCCAUGGGCAGGUUGAAGGUUGGGUAACACUAACUGGAGGACCGAACCGACUAAUGUUGAAAAAUUAGCGGAUGACUUGUGGCUGGGGGUGAAAGGCCAAUCAAACCGGGAGAUAGCUGGUUCUCCCCGAAAGCUAUUUAGGUAGCGCCUCGUGAAUUCAUCUCCGGGGGUAGAGCACUGUUUCGGCAAGGGGGUCAUCCCGACUUACCAACCCGAUGCAAACUGCGAAUACCGGAGAAUGUUAUCACGGGAGACACACGGCGGGUGCUAACGUCCGUCGUGAAGAGGGAAACAACCCAGACCGCCAGCUAAGGUCCCAAAGUCAUGGUUAAGUGGGAAACGAUGUGGGAAGGCCCAGACAGCCAGGAUGUUGGCUUAGAAGCAGCCAUCAUUUAAAGAAAGCGUAAUAGCUCACUGGUCGAGUCGGCCUGCGCGGAAGAUGUAACGGGGCUAAACCAUGCACCGAAGCUGCGGCAGCGACACUGUGUGUUGUUGGGUAGGGGAGCGUUCUGUAAGCCUGCGAAGGUGUGCUGUGAGGCAUGCUGGAGGUAUCAGAAGUGCGAAUGCUGACAUAAGUAACGAUAAAGCGGGUGAAAAGCCCGCUCGCCGGAAGACCAAGGGUUCCUGUCCAACGUUAAUCGGGGCAGGGUGAGUCGACCCCUAAGGCGAGGCCGAAAGGCGUAGUCGAUGGGAAACAGGUUAAUAUUCCUGUACUUGGUGUUACUGCGAAGGGGGGACGGAGAAGGCUAUGUUGGCCGGGCGACGGUUGUCCCGGUUUAAGCGUGUAGGCUGGUUUUCCAGGCAAAUCCGGAAAAUCAAGGCUGAGGCGUGAUGACGAGGCACUACGGUGCUGAAGCAACAAAUGCCCUGCUUCCAGGAAAAGCCUCUAAGCAUCAGGUAACAUCAAAUCGUACCCCAAACCGACACAGGUGGUCAGGUAGAGAAUACCAAGGCGCUUGAGAGAACUCGGGUGAAGGAACUAGGCAAAAUGGUGCCGUAACUUCGGGAGAAGGCACGCUGAUAUGUAGGUGAAGUCCCUCGCGGAUGGAGCUGAAAUCAGUCGAAGAUACCAGCUGGCUGCAACUGUUUAUUAAAAACACAGCACUGUGCAAACACGAAAGUGGACGUAUACGGUGUGACGCCUGCCCGGUGCCGGAAGGUUAAUUGAUGGGGUUAGCGCAAGCGAAGCUCUUGAUCGAAGCCCCGGUAAACGGCGGCCGUAACUAUAACGGUCCUAAGGUAGCGAAAUUCCUUGUCGGGUAAGUUCCGACCUGCACGAAUGGCGUAAUGAUGGCCAGGCUGUCUCCACCCGAGACUCAGUGAAAUUGAACUCGCUGUGAAGAUGCAGUGUACCCGCGGCAAGACGGAAAGACCCCGUGAACCUUUACUAUAGCUUGACACUGAACAUUGAGCCUUGAUGUGUAGGAUAGGUGGGAGGCUUUGAAGUGUGGACGCCAGUCUGCAUGGAGCCGACCUUGAAAUACCACCCUUUAAUGUUUGAUGUUCUAACGUUGACCCGUAAUCCGGGUUGCGGACAGUGUCUGGUGGGUAGUUUGACUGGGGCGGUCUCCUCCUAAAGAGUAACGGAGGAGCACGAAGGUUGGCUAAUCCUGGUCGGACAUCAGGAGGUUAGUGCAAUGGCAUAAGCCAGCUUGACUGCGAGCGUGACGGCGCGAGCAGGUGCGAAAGCAGGUCAUAGUGAUCCGGUGGUUCUGAAUGGAAGGGCCAUCGCUCAACGGAUAAAAGGUACUCCGGGGAUAACAGGCUGAUACCGCCCAAGAGUUCAUAUCGACGGCGGUGUUUGGCACCUCGAUGUCGGCUCAUCACAUCCUGGGGCUGAAGUAGGUCCCAAGGGUAUGGCUGUUCGCCAUUUAAAGUGGUACGCGAGCUGGGUUUAGAACGUCGUGAGACAGUUCGGUCCCUAUCUGCCGUGGGCGCUGGAGAACUGAGGGGGGCUGCUCCUAGUACGAGAGGACCGGAGUGGACGCAUCACUGGUGUUCGGGUUGUCAUGCCAAUGGCACUGCCCGGUAGCUAAAUGCGGAAGAGAUAAGUGCUGAAAGCAUCUAAGCACGAAACUUGCCCCGAGAUGAGUUCUCCCUGACCCUUUAAGGGUCCUGAAGGAACGUUGAAGACGACGACGUUGAUAGGCCGGGUGUGUAAGCGCAGCGAUGCGUUGAGCUAACCGGUACUAAUGAACCGUGAGGCUUAACCUU
RNAcentral lists this ribosomal RNA (2905 nucleotides) under Escherichia coli. Its description in RNAcentral is "23S ribosomal RNA". It matches the Rfam family "Bacterial large subunit ribosomal RNA". The record is from RNAcentral. Lineage: Bacteria; Pseudomonadati; Pseudomonadota; Gammaproteobacteria; Enterobacterales; Enterobacteriaceae.